GACGAACGCUGGCGGCGUGCUUAACACAUGCAAGUCGAACGGAAAGGCCCUGCUUUUGUGGGGUGCUCGAGUGGCGAACGGGUGAGUAACACGUGAGUAACCUGCCCUUGACUUUGGGAUAACUUCAGGAAACUGGGGCUAAUACCGGAUAGGAGCUCCUGCUGCAUGGUGGGGGUUGGAAAGUUUCGGCGGUUGGGGAUGGACUCGCGGCUUAUCAGCUUGUUGGUGGGGUAGUGGCUUACCAAGGCUUUGACGGGUAGCCGGCCUGAGAGGGUGACCGGCCACAUUGGGACUGAGAUACGGCCCAGACUCCUACGGGGGGCAGCAGUGGGGAAUCUUGCACAAUGGGCGGAAGCCUGAUGCAGCAACGCCGCGUGCGGGAUGACGGCCUUCGGGUUGUAAACCGCUUUCGCCUGUGACGAAGCGUGAGUGACGGUAAUGGGUAAAGAAGCACCGGCUAACUACGU
Molecule: ribosomal RNA, 467 nt
Filed under: uncultured bacterium
Lineage: Bacteria
Description: partial 16S ribosomal RNA
Rfam family: Bacterial small subunit ribosomal RNA
Source: RNAcentral